Molecule: ribosomal RNA, 495 nt
Filed under: uncultured bacterium
Lineage: Bacteria
Description: partial 16S ribosomal RNA
Rfam family: Bacterial small subunit ribosomal RNA
Source: RNAcentral
GACGAACGCUGGCGGCGUGCCUAAUACAUGCAAGUAGAACGCUGAAGGAGGAGCUUGCUUCUCUGGAUGAGUUGCGAACGGGUGAGUAACGCGUAGGUAACCUGCCUGGUAGCGGGGGAUAACUAUUGGAAACGAUAGCUAAUACCGCAUAAGAGUAGAUGUUGCAUGACAUUUGCUUAAAAGGUGCAAUUGCAUCACUACCAGAUGGACCUGCGUUGUAUUAGCUAGUUGGUGGGGUAACGGCUCACCAAGGCGACGAUACAUAGCCGACCUGAGAGGGUGAUCGGCCACACUGGGACUGAGACACGGCCCAGACUCCUACGGGAGGCAGCAGUAGGGAAUCUUCGGAAAUGGACGGAAGUCUGACCGAGCAACGCCGCGUGAGUGAAGAAGGGUGUCGGAUCGUAAAGCUCUGUUGUAAGAGAAGAACGAGUGUGAGAGUGGAAAGUUCACACUGUGACGGUAUCUUACCAGAAAGGGACGGCUAACUACGUG